GUGGGGAAUAUUGGACAAUGGGCGAAAGCCUGAUCCAGCCAUGCCGCGUGUGUGAAGAAGGUCUUCGGAUUGUAAAGCACUUUAAGUUGGGAGGAAGGGCAGUAAGUUAAUACCUUGCUGUUUUGACGUUACCGACAGAAUAAGCACCGGCUAACUUCGUGCCAGCAGCCGCGGUAAUACGAAGGGUGCAAGCGUUAAUCGGAAUUACUGGGCGUAAAGCGCGCGUCGGUGGUUUUGUAAGUUGGAGGUGAAAUCCCCGGGCUCAACCUGGGAACUGCCUCCAAAACUGCAUGACUAGAGUACGGUAGAGGGUAGUGGAAUUUCCUGUGUAGCGGUGAAAUGCGUAGAUAUAGGAAGGAACACCAGUGGCGAAGGCGACUACCUGGACUGAUACUGACACUGAGGUGCGAAAGCGUGGGGAGCAAACAGGAUUAGAUACCCGUGUAGUCC
This 450-nucleotide ribosomal RNA is filed under the name uncultured bacterium. RNAcentral's name for it is "partial 16S ribosomal RNA". It matches the Rfam family "Bacterial small subunit ribosomal RNA", at positions 354 to 796 of the family's 1533-position model. The record is from RNAcentral.